AUUAAAGUGUAGUUUAAGAAAAAAGAGAUUUUAAUUUUCUUUAUAUUAUUAAUUUUUAUAAAUUAUUAUUAAAUAGAAGAAAAAUUUUGUUUUAUAUUAAAAAAUUUAAUAAAGAGGUUAAAUUAGAUUUGGCGAAAUUUGUGCCAGCCGCCGCGGUUACACAAAUAAAUCAAUUUUUUUAUUUUUAAAAAAAUAAAUGUUUUUAAAAAAAUAAAAAUUUUAUUGGGUGAAAUCAUAUAAUUUUUCAUUUAAAUUUAAAAAUUGUUUUUUUGUAAUUUAUUUAAUAAACUAGGAUUAGAUACCCUAUUAUUUUAAGCUAAAUUUUGUUAGUAUAUAUAAUAUAUGAAAUCAAAAAAUUUUGGCGGUGUUUUAAGCUUUUUAGAGGAAUUUGCUCUUUAAUGGAUAAAACGCCAUAAUCUUACUUAAUUUUGUUAAAACAGUUUGUAUACCACUAUGAUUAAUAAUAUUGAAUAAUAAAUUAUUUAAAUUUUUUUAAAUUUAAAAAUAAAAUGUUAAGUCAAGGUGCAGCAAAAAAUUAUGAAUGAAGUGAAUUACAAUGAUUUUUAUAUUAGGAUUAUAAAUGAAAAAAUAAAUUAGGAUUUAAAAGUAAAUUAAUAAUAUAAUGAUUAAUUGAAAAAAGCUCUGAAAUAUGCACAUAUCGCCCGUCGCUCUCUACAUAGAGAUAAGUCGUAACAAAGUAAAAAUACUGGAAAGUGUUUUUUAAGAUGA
Molecule: non-coding RNA, 729 nt
Filed under: Ixodes woyliei
Lineage: Eukaryota; Metazoa; Arthropoda; Arachnida; Ixodida; Ixodidae
Source: RNAcentral